Molecule: long non-coding RNA, 252 nt
Filed under: Pan troglodytes (chimpanzee)
Lineage: Eukaryota; Metazoa; Chordata; Mammalia; Primates; Hominidae
Description: long non-coding RNA NONPTRT005550
Source: RNAcentral
GUACGUGACUGGAGGUGUAUCGUUGUCCUCGUCUGAAUCACGCUGAUGUGGCCCCAACCCCACCUCCCUCCCCACCCCAUGAUGUCAGAAAAAACCAGACAGAACAAAUUGGCCGAGGCCAAGAAAAAGUUCACAGACUAUCGUCAGUGGAACAUUGCUGGUGUUGGUACCAGAGCAACUGACACCAAAAAGAAGAAAAUAAAUAAUGGCACUAACCCUGAGACAACCACUUCUGGUGGUUGCCACUCACCU